CUCCGUGCCAGCAGCCGCGGUAAUACGGAGGGUGCAAGCGUUAUCCGGAUUCAUUGGGUUUAAAGGGUGCGUAGGCGGGAUUAUUAAGUCAGGGGUGAAAGUUUGCGGCUCAACCGUAAAAUUGCCUUGAUACUGGUAAUCUUGAGUACAUUUGAGGUAGGCGGAAUGUGAUGUGUAGCGGUGAAAUGCUUAGAUAUAUCACAGAACACCGAUUGCGAAGGCAGCUUACUAAACUGUAACUGACGCUGAGGUACGAAAGCGUGGGUAUCGAACAGGAUUAGAUACCCUGGUAGUCCACGCCGUAAACGAUGAUUACUAGUUGUUUGCAAUACAUGGUAAGCGACAAAGCGAAAGCAUUAAGUAAUCCACCUGGGGAGUACGUUGGCAACAAUGAAACUCAAAGGAAUUGACGGGGGCCCGCACAAGCGGAGGAACAUGUGGUUUAAUUCGAUGAUACGCGAGGAACCUUACCUGGACUUAAAUGGGGAGUGACAGGCUUAGAGAUAGGCUUUUCUUCGGACACUCUUCAAGGUGCUGCAUGGUUGUCGUCAGCUCGUGCCGUGAGGUGUCGGGUUAAGUCCCAUAACGAGCGCAACCCACGUCUUUAGUUACCAGCACGUAAUGGUGGGCACUCUAGAGAGACUGCCGGUGUAAACCGCGAGGAAGGUGUGGAUGACGUCAAAUCAGCACGGCCCUUACGUCCAGGGCUACACACGUGUUACAAUGGCCGGUACAGAGGGCAGCUACUGGGUGACUAGAUGCGAAUCUCCAAAACCGGUCUCAGUUCGGAUCGAAGUCUGCAACCCGACUUCGUGAAGCUGGAUUCGCUAGUAAUCGCAUAUCAGCCAUGAUGCGGUGAAUACGUUCCCGGGCCUUGUACACACCGCCCGUCAAACCAUGGAAGCCGGGGGUACCUGAAGUCUGUAACCGUAAGGAGCGGCCUAGGGUAAAUCUGGUAACUAGGGUU
RNAcentral lists this ribosomal RNA (967 nucleotides) under uncultured bacterium. Its description in RNAcentral is "bacterial SSU rRNA". It matches the Rfam family "Bacterial small subunit ribosomal RNA", at positions 501 to 1482 of the family's 1533-position model. The record is from RNAcentral.